This 253-nucleotide ribosomal RNA is filed under the name uncultured bacterium. RNAcentral describes it as "partial 16S ribosomal RNA". It matches the Rfam family "Bacterial small subunit ribosomal RNA", at positions 524 to 776 of the family's 1533-position model. The record is from RNAcentral.
GACGAACCGUGCGAACGUUAUUCGGAAUCACUGGGCUUAAAGGGCGCGUAGGCGGGUUCCCAAGUCUGCGGUGAAAGCCUCCAGCUCAACUGGAGAAGUGCCGUGGAUACUGGGAAUCUCGAGGAGGGUAGGGGCAUCUGGAACGUUGGGUGGAGCGGUGAAAUGCGUUGAUAUCCAACGGAACUCCGGUGGCGAAGGCGAGGUGCUGGACCCUUUCUGACGCUGAGGCGCGAAAGCCAGGGGAGCGAACGGG